AUACGGAGGGUGCAAGCGUUAAUCGGAAUUACUGGGCGUAAAGCGUACGUAGGCGGUUCGUUAAGUUAGAUGUGAAAGCCCCGGGCUUAACCUGGGAACUGCAUUUAAAACUGGCGAACUAGAGUUGAGUAGAGGGGAGUGGAAUUUCACGUGUAGCGGUGAAAUGCGUAGAGAUCUAAAGGAACACCAGUGGCGAAGGCGACUCCCUGGACUCGAACUGACGCUGAGGUACGAAAGCGUGGGUAGCAAACGGAAUUAGAAACCCUAGUAGUCC
This 274-nucleotide ribosomal RNA is filed under the name uncultured bacterium. Its description in RNAcentral is "partial 16S ribosomal RNA". It matches the Rfam family "Bacterial small subunit ribosomal RNA", at positions 523 to 796 of the family's 1533-position model. The record is from RNAcentral.